This is a non-coding RNA of Macaca mulatta (Rhesus monkey), 945 nucleotides long. Lineage: Eukaryota; Metazoa; Chordata; Mammalia; Primates; Cercopithecidae. The record is from RefSeq and is a predicted model, not a curated record.
GUGCGCGGCCUCCCAACUCCCGGCUGACGGAAUCCUCCCUAGUCCCCGCCCAGUUUGCCCAUUUUCCAAAAAAUCAGAGCAUAACCCGUUCUAACCCGAUUCUCUGCUCUGUUAUGUUAUGUCUGCCCUCCUCUGAUGCUUGGGAAAUCGUUUGUUCUGUGGCUUCUCCUGAGGAGAUGGAGGAUUUUCAGAGCUUGCAGAAAGACUAGAAAGCUGUGGCUAAGAGAUUAUGAAACCCGUUGGCAGCAGUGACAGGUUUAGAAUGCUGGUCUCCUGACAUGGCAGCCAGGGCAAUUGCAACCAAGCACUCUGACUUCUCUGACUUCCAAUCAUCAGCCAUCCUCAUGAUGCCUUCCACUGGCUGGGCUGGAUUCAGCUCCAGGAGUCCACCUACCUCAGCCUGAGAGCAAAGGAGAAGGGCUAGCUUCCCAUCAAAGGCUCUCUCUGGAACCAACGUUCACUCCUGUCCAUUAGAGCAUGAAGAGAGUUGUAGUCCUUCUGCCCACAACACUUCUUCCUGCUGUUGUCUUAUGGGGCUGGGAGGAAGACCCAGGACAAUGUACCCUGAGACUUGUGGACUUCUAGUUCAUUCAAUUCCUAGGAGCUAAUUUCAGAAAAGCAGAAUGGGCCAAGAACUUGAUGACAUGGUCAUCUUAGACACCUGCUACCUCCAGUGUAUGAGUUCUCCUGUUUUAAUGCCCUUUCUCCUAUGGACACCAGUUUUUACACCAAAAGAAUGAAGACAAAUAAAUAAAAAUGAAAGGCUCCGGGAAAUACGAUUUUGCUUAUAGAGAUUACGAGACAGAUCAUUUUAAGUACAUAAGUCCUUCUUUACAUGUGGAUCUGAAACUGAGCUUCUCUUUACUGACCUGUCACCAAGAUCCUAAUGGGAGUCUACAUUUUAGUACUUUACAAUAAAGUUUUGUUUUGUUUGUGUUGAAAAAA